This 492-nucleotide ribosomal RNA is filed under the name uncultured bacterium. Its description in RNAcentral is "partial 16S ribosomal RNA". It matches the Rfam family "Bacterial small subunit ribosomal RNA", at positions 29 to 507 of the family's 1533-position model. The record is from RNAcentral.
AGUGAACGCUGGCGGCAGGCCUAACACAUGCAAGUCGAACGGAAAGACAGUAAGCGCUCGCCUUUACCGGUGGCGAGUGGCGGAUGGGUGAGGCAUACAUCGCCUUCUUAUUAUACGUGGGGGACAUCGUAGGGCCACUUCCGCUACUACAGCAUAUGUCCUACGGGUGGGAGCAGGAGAUCAUCGGGCCUUGCGCGUUAGAUUGAGCCGGUGCCGGAUUAGCUAGUUGGCGGGGUAAAGGCACACCAAGGCGACGCUCCGUAGCUGGUCUGAGAGGGUGAUCAGCCACACUGGAACUGAGACACGGUCCAGACUCCUACGGGAGGCAGCAGUGGGGAAUAUUGGACAAUGGGCGCAAGCCUGAUCCAGCCACGCCGCGUGGGUGAAGAAGGGCUUCGGGUUGUAAAGCCCUUUUAUUGGGGAAGAACACCAGCAGAUGAAUACCCGCCUGUUCUGACGGUACCUAAAGAAUAAGCACCGGCUAACUACGUG